AGUGACCUUGCAAAAGCUAUUGAAAUUCUCGUAAAGGAUUUGAAGGUCUUUUCUACCUUUAAUGGACAACUCUUUAAGGGAAAUCAACCAGCUGCUAACACUUGACAACUUUAGGUGCUUAUUUGAACAUUUGUAUGUAUUGGGAUAGCAAAUCAACGUUGCAAAAAUCCACAUCAAUUAAAACUCUUAUUUACUGAUCAGCAUGAGAAGCUUCAGUUGAUGCAGUGUUCAUUAUAUAUCAUGAAAUGUGAAAAGAGAUUGAAAUGGAACAUGCAAGAAAAAAAGAGUUGAGCUUAAAGCAAUGUUAAAGAUAUUGACGGCCACCAACGAAACUUGGUGCAGACACGAAGUAGGCUACGGAUGAAGAAAUAGAAAAGACAAGGAAGGAGAUGCCUUUUUUUUAACGGGCUGGGUGUUUCUUGGUUUAAAUGUAGUUUUUUUUAUGGAUAGUAAUAUAGUUUUGAAUAGAUUAAGUAAUGAUUGUUAUUUUACUCGUGUAAACUUUCGGGUUGAAUGUGUAUUGGGUCGAUUUGAGCUUGUUCGGAUUAUUAUGUUGAAUAUAUAUGAAUUGAUUGUUUGAAA
Long non-coding RNA from Helianthus annuus (common sunflower), 582 nucleotides. RefSeq lists it as uncharacterized. Lineage: Eukaryota; Viridiplantae; Streptophyta; Magnoliopsida; Asterales; Asteraceae. The transcript has 2 exons. The record is from RefSeq and is a predicted model, not a curated record.